RNAcentral lists this ribosomal RNA (497 nucleotides) under uncultured bacterium. Its description in RNAcentral is "partial 16S ribosomal RNA". It matches the Rfam family "Bacterial small subunit ribosomal RNA", at positions 28 to 507 of the family's 1533-position model. The record is from RNAcentral.
GAUGAACGCUGGCGGCGUGCCUAAUACAUGCAAGUCGAGCGAACAGACGAGGAGCUUGCUCCUCUGACGUUAGCGGCGGACGGGUGAGUAACACGUGGAUAACCUACCUAUAAGACUGGGAUAACUUCGGGAAACCGGAGCUAAUACCGGAUAAUAUAUUGAACCGCAUGGUUCAAUAGUGAAAGACGGUUUUGCUGUCACUUAUAGAUGGAUCCGCGCCGCAUUAGCUAGUUGGUAAGGUAACGGCUUACCAAGGCAACGAUGCGUAGCCGACCUGAGAGGGUGAUCGGCCACCCUGGAACUGAGACACGGUCCAGACUCCUACGGGAGGCAGCAGUAGGGAAUCUUCCGCAAUGGGCGAAAGCCUGACGGAACAACGCCGCGUGAGUUAUGAAGGUCUUCGGAUCGUAAAACUCUGUUAUUAGGGAAGAACAAAUGUGUAAGUAACUAUGCACGUCUUGACGGUACCUAAUCAGAAAGCCACGGCUAACUACGUG